GGGCGCAUGGUGUAGUUGGUUAUCACAUCCGCUUAGCAACGUUUGAUCACCGUUGAUAUGCGGGGGGUGCUGGGUUCAAUUCCCAGUGCGUCCA
Molecule: non-coding RNA, 94 nt
Organism: Trametes polyzona
Lineage: Eukaryota; Fungi; Basidiomycota; Agaricomycetes; Polyporales; Polyporaceae
Source: the annotation of a GenBank genome assembly